RNAcentral lists this ribosomal RNA (253 nucleotides) under uncultured bacterium. RNAcentral describes it as "partial 16S ribosomal RNA". It matches the Rfam family "Bacterial small subunit ribosomal RNA", at positions 524 to 776 of the family's 1533-position model. The record is from RNAcentral.
UACGAGGGGGGCAAGCGUUGUUCGGAAUUAUUGGGCGCAAAGGGCGCGUAGGCGGUGCGGUAAGUCACCUGUGAAAACUCUGGGCUCAACUCAGAGCCUGCAGGCGAAACUGCCGUGCUGGAGUGUGGGAGAGGUGCGUGGAAUUCCCGGUGUAGCGGUGAAAUGCGUAGAUAUCAGGAGGAACACCUGCGGUGUAGACGGCUUUCUGGACCAUUACUGACACUGAGACACGAAAGCGUGGGUAGCAAACAGG